AUCCUUGCUGAGCACCGCAUUCUGAACAAAACAGCAUCGACUCUGGAGCACAGCCAAAAUGCCAGGAACGAAAGGUAACAAGUCGGACAAGAAGUCAACUACCAAGCAACCUCAGAGUCCUAAAGAGCAGCCGAAGAAAGGUGAUCAGAAAGGAGAUGACAACAAGAAGCAAGGAGGACAGCCGAAGGGAGAGAAGCAGUAACUUCCAGGCCUUUGUGAAGAUGGCACUGGAGACGUUGCUGGGCUCCUGCCGUCGCAAACACGGGGGUCCUCGGAGCAGGCAGGGCUAAGCCGAGUUCACCGCCCCCGAGCCGGAUUGUUGGGUGGCCUUCCAACACGACAUUUGCUCAUCUCUCUCUCACAGAGAAGGAAAAUCAAACGGAUUCCAGAUGUCUCUCCCUCUCCCAUGUUCUCAGCCUUUAUCUGUGACCACACUGUCCACCCAACAUGCUGGAUGCUUGUACUCCAGUCCCCCCCAAAAAAAAUCAUUGCUCAGAGCAAGACCCCAUUUUGUCACCCUUUCCCAACUCAUCCUCAGUAUGGACUGUUUAACAGUCUAUACAUUUUUCUUGUAAAUAAUUAUUCAAAUAAACAACUCUUUCUUACAUGA
Long non-coding RNA from Syngnathus acus (greater pipefish), 610 nucleotides. RefSeq lists it as uncharacterized. The transcript has 5 exons. The record is from RefSeq and is a predicted model, not a curated record. Lineage: Eukaryota; Metazoa; Chordata; Actinopteri; Syngnathiformes; Syngnathidae.